UACUUCUGACUAUUGCGAUGGGGGGACGGAGAAGGCUAGGUGGGCCAGGCGACGGUUGUCCUGGUUCAAGUGCGUAGGCUUGAGAGUUAGGUAAAUCCGGCUCUCUCUAAGGCUGAGACACGACGUCGAGCUACUACGGUAGUGAAGUCAUUGAUGCCAUGCUUCCAGGAAAAGCCUCUAAGCUUCAGAUAGUCAGGAAUCGUACCCCAAACCGACACAGGUGGUCGGGUAGAGAAUACCAAGGCGCUUGAGAGAACUCGGGUGAAGGAACUAGGCAAAAUGGUACCGUAACUUCGGGAGAAGGUACGCUCUUGAUGGUGAAGUCCCUCGCGGAUGGAGCUGACGAGAGUCGCAGAUACCAGGUGGCUGCAACUGUUUAUUAAAAACACAGCACUGUGCAAAAUCGCAAGAUGACGUAUACGGUGUGACGCCUGCCCGGUGCCGGAAGGUUAAUUGAUGGGGUUAGCGCAAGCGAAGCUCUUGAUCGAAGCCCCGGUAAACGGCGGCCGUAACUAUAACGGUCCUAAGGUAGCGAAAUUCCUUGUCGGGUAAGUUCCGACCUGCACGAAUGGCGUAAUGAUGGCCACGCUGUCUCCACCCGAGACUCAGUGAAAUUGAAAUCGCUGUGAAGAUGCAGUGUACCCGCGGCUAGACGGAAAGACCCCGUGAACCUUUACUACAGCUUGGCACUGAACAUUGAACCUACAUGUGUAGGAUAGGUGGGAGGCUAUGAAGACGUGACGCCAGUUGCGUUGGAGCCGUCCUUGAAAUACCACCCUUGUAUGUUUGAUGUUCUAACUUAGACCCAUUAUCUGGGUUGAGGACAGUGCCUGGUGGGUAGUUUGACUGGGGCGGUCUCCUCCCAAAGAGUAACGGAGGAGCACGAAGGUGGGCUAAUCACGGUUGGACAUCGUGAGGUUAGUGCAAUGGCAUAAGCCCGCUUAACUGCGAGAAUGACGGUUCGAGCAGGUGCGAAAGCAGGUCAUAGUGAUCCGGUGGUUCUGUAUGGAAGGGCCAUCGCUCAACGGAUAAAAGGUACUCCGGGGAUAACAGGCUGAUACCGCCCAAGAGUUCAUAUCGACGGCGGUGUUUGGCACCUCGAUGUCGGCUCAUCACAUCCUGGGGCUGAAGUCGGUCCCAAGGGUAUGGCUGUUCGCCAUUUAAAGUGGUACGCGAGCUGGGUUUAGAACGUCGUGAGACAGUUCGGUCCCUAUCUGCCGUGGGCGUUGGAAGAUUGAAGGGGGCUGCUCCUAGUACGAGAGGACCGGAGUGGACGAACCUCUGGUGUUCGGGUUGUGUCGCCAGACGCAUUGCCCGGUAGCUAAGUUCGGAAUUGAUAAGCGCUGAAAGCAUCUAAGCGCGAAGCGAGCCCUGAGAUGAGUCUUCCCUGACAGUUUAACUGUCCUAAAGGGUUGUUCGAGACUAGAACGUUGAUAGGCAGGGUGUGUAAGCGUUGUGAGGCGUUGAGCUAACCUGUACUAAUUGCCCGUGAGGCUUAACCAUACAACACCCAAGGGGUUUUGUA
This 1525-nucleotide ribosomal RNA is filed under the name Vibrio cholerae. Its description in RNAcentral is "partial 23S ribosomal RNA". It matches the Rfam family "Bacterial large subunit ribosomal RNA", at positions 1442 to 2925 of the family's 2925-position model. Lineage: Bacteria; Pseudomonadati; Pseudomonadota; Gammaproteobacteria; Vibrionales; Vibrionaceae. The record is from RNAcentral.